GUGACUCUAUCUGUGAAAAGUGCUCUACAAAUAAAAUUUACUUACUUACUUACUUACUUAAUGUAAAACAUACUUUAUUAAAUCCGGAUCUGAGGAACUAAAUCUCUGCGUUAAACACAGGAGUAUUUCCUCCACUCCAUCUGUCUGACAAAUUGAACCCCUUACACAAUUUUGACCCCUCUGAUCAGUUGAAACCACGUAUUUCCAAUGUGUUGAUGUUGAAGGAGGAGGUGUUUCCUUCAUAUGUUUAGUCUCCUUUUCUCCUUUUUGAGCUCAUGAAAAGUUGAGUGUUAGUAGUAACAUUUCCAUUAGGAUGAUUCAGAAUCACUUGCCUACAUUAUUGUUUUAGUUCUAUUAAGAUGUGUUAAAUUAUUUGCUAUAUAGAUUUGGACAGUCAAAGCAACUUGCCCAAGCUAAAAUAUAUUGGUUUAGAUUUAAUAUCUGUUUUCAGCCCACAGUGACUAACAGAGGUGGAGAAGAAAUGGAUUUGGUUCAGCCAGACUGAAAAAAAGCAGUAGUUUUGAUCCAGUGCAGUUCGUUGUUGCAGCUCACAUCAUUCCAUGUGCCUUUGGAAAAGAUCUCACCACAGUUCUGUUGACCCAAUACAGGUUUAUUGGCACCGUUGUUAGGCUGCCCUGGAGUCCAGAACCUGACAUGUGGGUCUACAUGGCGAAGAGGUGAAGAGGUGAAGGUGCUGAGUCUGCUCUGGUCGAAGAUGCUGAAGCCUUGCCAGAGAUGGAUGAAGAUAGUGUCGCCUUCCUCCAGCUGCACCGUCAUGCUGUUAGAGCCACAGCCGGUUGAUCCCCAUGUGUCGUGGAUCUCAAAGAGGAAUUCGCUGUUCUUCACCAAUGUUGCAUCCAAUUUACCUGAUUUUCCCAUGCAGCCAGUGAAAGAGAAGUAGUAGACACCCUUUGUGGGGGCUGUGAAGAUGCCUGCAGACAAACAACAGAAAAUACUCAAACCUAAAUCUAAAAUUCAAUACAGACAAUUACAACAUCAGACAACAAUGUAUCCACUGGACAUUGAUAUUACACAUGUAAUGAGAACAUGAUGGGUCAUUAAAGGAUGGUCAGUGGACAGGAGGAAAGAGAGGGAAGGGGGAUUAACAAACUCAGAAUGUAAAAUGGAGGAUUAGGACCACACUGAGGGAGGAACACCACAUAUUUGAAGAAAAAAAAUCAUGGUGCAAGAAGAAAGUCAUACCUACAGGAAUAAAGUAAAAAAUAUUUGAGUUUAAAAUAUUGUGUUAAUGUGCUCUGAUACUUGUAAAACACUGUAAAUAUGUCUGAAGACUUAUACAUAUAUGCACAUUACAGCUCAUUAUAUAGGUAUGCUCAUAAUUGAUUCUAAACAUUUGCAUAAGGAGUUGUGAUUCAUGUAAAAUGUAAAUCACUAUGGCUAUGACUUUACA
This is a long non-coding RNA of Sphaeramia orbicularis (orbiculate cardinalfish), 1411 nucleotides long. RefSeq lists it as uncharacterized. The transcript is spliced from 3 exons. The record is from RefSeq and is a predicted model, not a curated record. NCBI's taxonomy places the organism in Eukaryota, Metazoa, Chordata, Actinopteri, Kurtiformes, Apogonidae.